Molecule: ribosomal RNA, 263 nt
Filed under: uncultured bacterium
Lineage: Bacteria
Description: partial 16S ribosomal RNA
Rfam family: Bacterial small subunit ribosomal RNA
Source: RNAcentral
GUCCACGCCGUAAACGAUGUCGAUUUGGAGGCUGUGUCCUUGAGACGUGGCUUCCGGAGCUAACGCGUUAAAUCGACCGCCUGGGGAGUACGGCCGCAAGGUUAAAACUCAAAUGAAUUGACGGGGGCCCGCACAAGCGGUGGAGCAUGUGGUUUAAUUCGAUGCAACGCGAAGAACCUUACCUGGCCUUGACAUGUCUGGAAUCCUGCAGAGAUGCGGGAGUGCCUUAGGGAAUCAGAACACAGGUGCUGCAUGGCUGUCGU